This 466-nucleotide ribosomal RNA is filed under the name uncultured bacterium. Its description in RNAcentral is "partial 16S ribosomal RNA". It matches the Rfam family "Bacterial small subunit ribosomal RNA", at positions 28 to 507 of the family's 1533-position model. The record is from RNAcentral.
GACGAACGCUGGCGGCGCGCCUAACACAUGCAAGUCGAACGAGCGUGCGAGAGCUUGCUUUCUUGAGCGAGUGGCGAACGGGUGAGUAACGCGUGAGGAACCUGCCUCAAAGAGGGGGACAACAGUUGGAAACGACUGCUAAUACCGCAUAAGCCCACGACCCGGCAUCGGGUUGAGGGAAAAGGAGCAAUCCGCUUUGAGAUGGCCUCGCGUCCGAUUAGCUAGUUGGUGAGGUAACGGCCCACCAAGGCGACGAUCGGUAGCCGGACUGAGAGGUUGAACGGCCACAUUGGGACUGAGACACGGCCCAGACUCCUACGGGAGGCAGCAGUGGGGAAUAUUGCACAAUGGGGGAAACCCUGAUGCAGCGACGCCGCGUGGAGGAAGAAGGUCUUCGGAUUGUAAACUCCUGUUGUUGAGGAAGAUAAUGACGGUACUCAACAAGGAAGUGACGGCUAACUACGUG